Molecule: ribosomal RNA, 447 nt
Filed under: uncultured organism
Description: partial 16S ribosomal RNA
Rfam family: Bacterial small subunit ribosomal RNA
Source: RNAcentral
ACUCCUGCGGGAGGCAGCAGUGGGGAAUAUUGGACAAUGGGCGCAAGCCUGAUCCAGCCAUGCCGCGUGAGUGAUGAAGGCCCUAGGGUUGUAAAGCUCUUUCACCGGUGAAGAUAAUGACGGUAACCGGAGAAGAAGCCCCGGCUAACUUCGUGCCAGCAGCCGCGGUAAUACGAAGGGGGCUAGCGUUGUUCGGAUUUACUGGGCGUAAAGCGCACGUAGGCGGACUAUUAAGUCAGGGGUGAAAUCCCGGGGCUCAACCCCGGAACUGCCUUUGAUACUGGUAGUCUUGAGUUCGAGAGAGGUGAGUGGAAUUCCGGGUGUAGAGGUGAAAUUCGUAGAUAUUCGGAGGAACACCAGUGGCGAAGGCGGCUCACUGGCUCGAUACUGACGCUGAGGUGCGAAAGCGUGGGGAGCAAACAGGAUUAGAAACCCCAGUAGUCCCAU